GCGCAUGGUAGAUGUAGAGGGCGCCCUUUUUACUUACCAGAAAAUCGCAGCAGACGACAUUCGUGACAUUUUGGCUCCAAAUUUUGACUCUGUCAUUUUCUUGGACCUGGGUGAAAACAUUCGGCGGGCAUAUAUUUAGACAGUAUUGUCAACAUGGGGGACGACCCAUAUGAAGAUGACAGUAAUGAUCCUUCACAGCCACUCCACCAUCCUGCUACCCCAUCGGAGGCUGAGCUUCAGGUUCAGAGGAUGCUGGGAGAACAAUUGCACACUGACAUCUCUAUAGAGCAGCAGGUUUCUAAGAGCAGGUCGUUCACCCCGGCCACGUCAACCUUCAGACCUUUCGUUGAGCGAGCGAGUGGUCAAUUAUCCCUGGAGGAGUUUCAAGCUCUUGAGAAGGAGCACCAAGAACUUGAAGAGUUGAGGGCGUGCGGACUGAACGACCAGGAAAUUGCCUUCAAAUUGGAACAUGAGGGGCGACAGCUAUCCAACCUUCUUUAUCCUCACAAGAGGGGUCAUUUUCUCGCUGAUCCUGCCACUCGACAGAAACGUCUCAAGAUAGUGGAGGACAAGAUCCAAAGAAGGAACACACAACUCAACUCGUCACAAGAUGCGACAUCAUCUUCCUCUGACAAUCAACAGAUGACUGAUGACUCACAAGGAGGAAGUGCUUUCUCAUCUCAACAUCAGACAUUACUUGGCAAGAAGUUUGUCCAUCCAGAUGAUCCCAUCAACCAUCUAGAUGCCAUCGCUGCCGGGCUUUUUGGCAAGACCAAUGAAGAUAAACAACUUGGAAAUGUUUCACCAAGACGAGGAAAUACCACGUCCCUCAUGGGCGAACCCACCAGAGGAUGCAGUCCCGGUUGCCGUGACGACGGUCCUCAUCCCACAGAAGAGGGAGGGGUCAUUAACGAGUGCACCUCCAAGGAGAAAUCAGUGGGUAUCUUCAGAGAGGGAUUAAGAGCAGAGUGUACAUCAGAGUCCGUCGGCGAGGAAUCAGUCACGGGACAUGCUACUCACAUCGGCCAAGCUAGACAUCUAACUAAGCAGGGAGUGUCCCUAGAGGGCGCACCCAAGGAGGGGAUUACAAAUUGUGCCACGGGGGGUUUAGAGACGAGAGAGAAAUCACGUCUUGUCCCGGGAGUGGAGGGGGAAUGCAUCGGUGGACAAGGUGAAGAUAACGAGCCCCGUAGGCUGAUCGACGUCAUCAGACCUUUGUCACGAGAGGAUUUAUUGCUGCAUCGUCUCAGUCAGGAUGACAUUUGUAGGAUGGAGCGCUUUGCAAACUACUCACCGGGCCAACCAAGCAAGGUUCUGUACCUUAAGAACCUGUCAAGUAAGGUCACAGAGGCUGAUCUAGCAUCACUCUUCAUCAGUUUCCAACAUCCUGACAAACCUAAGAUCCUCUUCAAACUUCUUAAAGGAAAGAUGAGAGGUCAAGCUUUCGUGACCUUUGCAGACACAGAAACGGCAGCUGAUGCGAUGGCACAUGCGAAUGGUUAUCCAUUGAAAGGGAAACCAGUGAUCAUACAGUAUGGAAAGAAUAGGUGACAGGGAACCAGCAGAACAUCACAAGAAUCUGUCAAAAAUGAAACCUUUCCCCGGCUUUAUUUUGACACCUCUCAUCAAGCGUCGUCUCUCCAACUGGUGUCUCCUUCAUCAGCACCAUUUACUAUCGUCAGUAGAUAGUGGUAUCAUCACCUACUCUCAUCAGCGUUAAAAGGCUACGGUUCCAAAGUCAACACGCUGGAGUCCAUACAGGUCUGGAGAUUAAUUGAAACAUUCCUAUCAGACUCCUGGACUAUAGAAGCACAAGUGUGACGAACAGGCCAAGGACUCCAUGAAAUCGAAUUAAAUCUGCGCAGAUCCCAACCACUCGUGCAACAACCUGACGAGGAGUGACUGAGGCCUGCAAGGUCGGUUUGAGACGUUUGUCGGAAUCCCCGAGAGAGGGAUAAACUACUCAAUCAAGUGAGGACUAGUGACAACCCAAUCCAAAUAGUAAUCCUGCCGGGAAUCGAACCGGGGCCAACGAGAUUUGGAAGACGUGGACGGUACUAAUCCACCAUUUGCAAUUAUGCGAGGGAGGGGUGGGGUCAUAGGAGAUCACCCCCUCCCGAUUCGGCAACACUUUAGUUAAUCAUGUAUCCGAUUUUGUGAAGGUGUGAGUUGUGUAACGCUCUUCUAACAGCAAUUUACGUUUAUUCUGUAACCGCCAGUGGCUGAUCUGGCAUCGCGUUAAGACCUAGCUCGUAUGGCACGAUUAUAUUAGGCUUUUCAUUUGCUGCUUAGUUUUGGCAUACAGUGAC
This 2309-nucleotide unclassified non-coding RNA is filed under the name Patiria miniata (bat star). Its description in RNAcentral is "rNA-binding protein 41-like, transcript variant X2". The record is from RNAcentral. Lineage: Eukaryota; Metazoa; Echinodermata; Asteroidea; Valvatida; Asterinidae.